This 634-nucleotide long non-coding RNA is filed under the name Citrus sinensis (sweet orange). RNAcentral's name for it is "long non-coding RNA (CSIN_LNC004213)". The record is from RNAcentral. Lineage: Eukaryota; Viridiplantae; Streptophyta; Magnoliopsida; Sapindales; Rutaceae.
CAGAGUCACAAACAAACACUGAAACAUAGUCAAUCACACAUAAAGUUCACGGCUUCACGCCUACACCCACCCACAGCCGCCGACCAGCGACAUACACGCCACAACCUCCCUCUCUCGCAUCCCACAAUCGACGACGACAAGCGGCAGUUACACAACGCACAUCCACAGCCAAACAAACGAAACAGUCACUAUUCACAGACAGUCAAACACACACGAAGUUCAAGGAGCAAGCUGGAUCCGGCCACCAGAUGCAGCAACCGCCGAGAGUCGACGCCAACCAAAGCUGCUACGCCAGUACUGGAUCUACCAAUCUGUUGCCACCAAGUACCGGAUCUGCUGCGCCACCUCCACGCUUCCAAUCCUCCACCAUCACCUGAUCUGAUUCAAGCUCCAUUCGACCCGGCAAGCUCCAUCCUAUUCAAGCGUCAUUUGGCUAUUGACUUUUGAGUUUUGAAAGCUUUGGGCUGUUAGUGUAACUUGGCAAAGAUGGUGUAUAUGCUUUAUAUAUUAUAAGUGAACAAAUGUGUAGAUCGUGUGUAAUUGUGUAUAUACUUUAUAUCCGAUCCGAUCUGAUCCGAACUCAACCCGAACCUACAACCCGAUUCGGAUCGGAUCGGGUUGUAGGUUCCGGUUG